UUUGAAAUCUGGCGUGCUCAGUGCGUCCGAUUUGUAAUCUAUAGAGUCGUUUUCCGUGCCGGACUGUGUCCAAGUCCCUUGGAACAGGGUAUCAAAGAGGGUGAUAAUCCCGUACUUGACACAAUGACCGGUGCUCUGUGAUACGUCUUCUACGAGUCGAGUUGUUUGGGAAUGCAGCUCAAAAUGGGUGGUGAGUUCCAUCUAAAGCUAAAUAUUGGCGAGAGACCGAUAGCGAACAAGUACCGUGAGGGAAAGAUGAAAAGCACUUUGGAAAGAGAGUUAAACAGUACGUGAAAUUGUUAAAAGGGAAACGAUUGAAGUCAGUCGUGACUGAGAGGCUCAGCCGGUUCUGCCGGUGUAUUCCCCUCAGUCGGGUCAACAUCAGUUUUGUUCGGUGGAUAAGGGCAGUUGGAAGGUGGCACCCUCGGGUGUGUUAUAGCCAGCUGUCGCAUACAUCGGAUGAGACUGAGGAAUGCAGCUCGCCUUUAUGGCCGGGGUUCGCCCACGUUCGAGCUUAGGAUGUUGACAUAAUGGCUUUAAACGAC
RNAcentral lists this ribosomal RNA (545 nucleotides) under Papiliotrema flavescens. RNAcentral's name for it is "partial large subunit ribosomal RNA". It matches the Rfam family "Eukaryotic large subunit ribosomal RNA", at positions 114 to 648 of the family's 3401-position model. The record is from RNAcentral. Lineage: Eukaryota; Fungi; Basidiomycota; Tremellomycetes; Tremellales; Rhynchogastremaceae.